Molecule: ribosomal RNA, 385 nt
Filed under: Ichthyosporea sp.
Lineage: Eukaryota; Ichthyosporea
Description: partial small subunit ribosomal RNA
Rfam family: Eukaryotic small subunit ribosomal RNA
Source: RNAcentral
AUUCCAGCUCCAAUAGCGUAUAUUAAAGUUGUUGCAGUUAAAAAGCUCGUAGUUGGAUGUUGGGUUCUAGUUAUGGUCGGUCUCUUCUAGAGUACUGUCAUGCUGGCCCUUUUUCUCGAGGCAUAUAGGUGCACUUUACCGUGUGUUUAUAUUGUUCGGGACUUUUACCGUGAGAAAAUUAGAGUGUUCGUAGCAGGCUAGUGCUUGAAUAUUACAGCAUGGAAUAAUGGAAUAGGAUCAUGAUCUUAUUUAGUUGGUUUCUAAGAUUAAGAUAAUGAUUAAUAGGGAUAGUUGGGGGCAUUAAUAUUUAGUUGUCAGAGGUGAAAUUCUUAGAUUUACAAAAGAUUAACUUCUGCGAAAGCAUUUGCCAAGGAUGUUUUCAUUA